UUCUGUUUUACCUGUGCUGUUUAGAUGGAGAAAGGAAGGGUAGACAGGAGGACAGAAAGAGAUGGUGUUAUGUAUUUCUUUCAACAGAAACUUCAGUAGCAGACUCCCUUGAUAGGCAGUAAGCUGUAAUACCAGAUAUGUCCUUGUACCCUGAAGAGUUUGGGAUUAUGGCAACGUUGCAAGAAGUCAGGAGCCAACUGAAAAUUCUGUUGCAGAUGUAAAAUUCAGAGCUACAAGUAUAUCAUGUGUCCAAAGAGGUGUUUCCAGUGAGAAAGCUUGGAAGCUGCAAUCCUACCCCAUUAAGAAAUGAAGCUGUGGCUCUUGGUUGCUGUUAUUAUUGGCAAAAUAGUGUCAAUAGACUGAAUGCUGAAGAGUAUGUGGCACGCAUAAGGUUCUUGUGUGAUUUUGGAAGAGAAAGUUUUAGUUGUGACCCACCAGAAUAAAAGACAUAUCAAAGCUGUACUGAGUGGCCUCUGUGACAAAAUGAGACUGAAACAACUGCACUUUAGUGUUAUGAUCAUGCAAGAAUGCAUCAGAGGUUGGCUGUAGAUUUCUCACUGGUUG
Molecule: long non-coding RNA, 564 nt
Organism: Numida meleagris (helmeted guineafowl)
Lineage: Eukaryota; Metazoa; Chordata; Aves; Galliformes; Numididae
Exons: 3
Source: RefSeq, a predicted model, not a curated record